This 1329-nucleotide ribosomal RNA is filed under the name Staphylococcus sp. RNAcentral's name for it is "bacterial SSU rRNA". It matches the Rfam family "Bacterial small subunit ribosomal RNA", at positions 82 to 1399 of the family's 1533-position model. Lineage: Bacteria; Bacillati; Bacillota; Bacilli; Caryophanales; Staphylococcaceae. The record is from RNAcentral.
UCCUUUGACGUUAGCGGCGGACGGGUGAGUAACACGUGGGUAACCUACCUAUAAGACUGGGAUAACUUCGGGAAACCGGAGCUAAUACCGGAUAACAUUUGGAACCGCAUGGUUCUAAAGUGAAAGAUGGUUUUGCUAUCACUUAUAGAUGGACCCGCGCCGUAUUAGCUAGUUGGUAAGGUAACGGCUUACCAAGGCGACGAUACGUAGCCGACCUGAGAGGGUGAUCGGCCACACUGGAACUGAGACACGGUCCAGACUCCUACGGGAGGCAGCAGUAGGGAAUCUUCCGCAAUGGGCGAAAGCCUGACGGAGCAACGCCGCGUGAGUGAUGAAGGGUUUCGGCUCGUAAAACUCUGUUAUUAGGGAAGAACAAACGUGUAAGUAACUGGCACGUCUUGACGGUACCUAAUCAGAAAGCCACGGCUAACUACGUGCAGCAGCCGCGGUAAUACGUAGGUGGCAAGCGUUAUCCGGAAUUAUUGGGCGUAAAGCGCGCGUAGGCGGUUUCUUAAGUCUGAUGUGAAAGCCCACGGCUCAACCGUGGAGGGUCAUUGGAAACUGGGAAACUUGAGUGCAGAAGAGGAAAGUGGAAUUCCAUGUGUAGCGGUGAAAUGCGCAGAGAUAUGGAGGAACACCAGUGGCGAAGACGACUUUCUGGUCUGUAACUGACGCUGAUGUGCGAAAGCGUGGGGAUCAAACAGGAUUAGAUACCCUGGUAGUCCACGCCGUAAACGAUGAGUGCUAAGUGUUAGGGGGUUUCCGCCCCUUAGUGCUGCAGCUAACGCAUUAAGCACUCCGCCUGGGGAGUACGACCGCAAGGUUGAAACUCAAAGGAAUUGACGGGGACCCGCACAAGCGGUGGAGCAUGUGGUUUAAUUCGAAGCAACGCGAAGAACCUUACCAAAUCUUGACAUCCUUUGAAAACUCUAGAGAUAGAGCCUUCCCCUUCGGGGGACAAAGUGACAGGUGGUGCAUGGUUGUCGUCAGCUCGUGUCGUGAGAUGUUGGGUUAAGUCCCGCAACGAGCGCAACCCUUAAGCUUAGUUGCCAUCAUUAAGUUGGGCACUCUAGGUUGACUGCCGGUGACAAACCGGAGGAAGGUGGGGAUGACGUCAAAUCAUCAUGCCCCUUAUGAUUUGGGCUACACACGUGCUACAAUGGACAAUACAAAGGGCAGCUAAACCGCGAGGUCAUGCAAAUCCCAUAAAGUUGUUCUCAGUUCGGAUUGUAGUCUGCAACUCGACUACAUGAAGCUGGAAUCGCUAGUAAUCGUAGAUCAGCAUGCUACGGUGAAUACGUUCCCGGGUCUUGUACACACUACCCGUCA